GGCCAGAGGAGUUGAAACUCGAUGAUCUGUAGAGUUGGCUGAAAACGAGUGGAAAAAUAUAUGUAAAGAAUUGAAUUUACAAAUUUAAAACUUGCAGACUUUGCUACUGUGAAUUGUUUCGAGCGGUUUGUGUCUGUACUAUGCCAGUAUUUCUGGUGUCUGCGCUCAAUGGGAGCUUUUUAAGCAAUACGCCUAGUGCAGACACAAACCGCAGCACAAUCAAAUCAAAACUGUAAAAUGCAAUGCGUACCAAACUGUAUUUAGCCAAGACACUGACAAAUGUAUCUCGCGCUCUGGCUGCCAAACUGUGACUGUAAUACCGUGACUGUCAAACCAAUUCAAAUUGAAUCAAAAUGCAAUCAAGCUCAUAUAGAACAAAUACAUUUACAGCAAAGAAAAACUUACCUAGCUAAGGCAUUGGAACUUAUCUGCCUGCGGCCGGAACUGCAAACAAAUUGAGAAUAAAUGUUG
This 471-nucleotide small RNA is filed under the name Drosophila virilis. Its description in RNAcentral is "GJ26924". The record is from RNAcentral. Lineage: Eukaryota; Metazoa; Arthropoda; Insecta; Diptera; Drosophilidae.